Long non-coding RNA from Labrus bergylta (ballan wrasse), 911 nucleotides. RefSeq lists it as uncharacterized. Lineage: Eukaryota; Metazoa; Chordata; Actinopteri; Labriformes; Labridae. The record is from RefSeq and is a predicted model, not a curated record.
GAAGAAGAAGAAGAAGAACAAGACGAGCUCUCCCCGCAGCUGAAACCAAAAAGCAAAGAUGGGUGGAGGCGCCGCUCCCGCUGCGGAGUCAGAAGGAAACUUCAACAUGUUAAAAUCUAAAGGAGCUCCAGUGUCUUUGCCCAAACAUUCAUACUGGUUUGAUUUCUGGGCGUUCCUGCUCUUUGACAUCGCGUUUUUUCUCUUCAUGUACUUCAUAGUCCCGUAGACCAGCAAACCGUCAUCUGGAUUCUGCGCCCUGAUGGAGCUCUGGUCCUGUGAUCCCGUCAGAAAUACUAACCCAGCUUCGACUGAAAACAUCACGUCAUUGAAUAUCUUGAUGGAUUGGACCCUGACUAGAACUAUUGAGUCCCGUUCUGAUAUCAGAGAUGUGGACCUCAACGCUCCUUCACCCUGAGACCUGGUUCCAGUUUCUGGGGACCGUCUCUCUGCAUGGAUGGAUUCACAAUAUUGCCAUGGGGAAAAUAUAUAUUUCAAGUACUCGUAUUAAAUUGGUUGAACGGGCAUCAUGAGGACUUGAAAAAUGUUCCAACUCAAAUGUAUUUUAAUGAACCAUGUGUUAUUCCUUUACAUGCUGAAUGUUUAACGUGUGAUAGAUUAGUCGCUGUUAACGAUGAUGAUGAUUUGUGUGGCAUUUUACCUUUAAGUGGUCUUACUGCAUUCCUAAACAUGUUAUGUCUCAAACUAAGUUUUGGAGUCAUGCGUCUGUUUUUUUUCUUGUACUAAGCCGUCUAAUGAAACCCGUUUGAGGCCGCUGUGAGGAUAGUAGAGACGUGGGAGUUUAGCAAGUGGUGCACCGCAUGUGAUGUAAUGCAGUGACUUCAGCUCACUAAAAUCUGGAAAUUUUGCACAUGGGAAAUACUACAAAUAAAGUGUUUUGCCUAAAAGUUAAA